ACCUUAAAGUAUAUAUGACGAACUGGAGAUUCAAUAGUCUUCAAUUUUUGUUUACCCUUGUAGAACAAGUCAGAUACAUCUUAAAUAGAUAUUAUACUAUUUAAUCAUUUAAUAACCAAAUAUAUUGUGUAAAAUGCAUUUUUGGUUAAGAUUGAAUUUUAUUGAAUAAAAUAAUAAAGUUUGAAAUAUUCAAUCAAUAAUUAUUUUAUUUUAUUGCGACUCAACUUGGACUUUAUUAAAGUUUACUAGAUUUUAAUUUAAAUAGGGAUUAAUUUUCAGUAAUUUUUGCAUUGGUCUUAUUGUAUAGUUUAUAAUUUGACGACCUAAAUUUGUUAUAUUUAGAUAACCUAUAAAUUAAUGAGAUUUCACAUUUAUAUGGAGUUGUAUCUUGUAAUCGUUUAAUAAUUAUAAUAAAGGUAAUAUUUUUUUUGAUGUUAAAUUAUAAUAACCCAAGUACUUAAGAUGGGUAAAAAUUAAUGACAAUCUUUUAUCGUAUCAUAAUAAUAUUACAUAUUAUUAUACAGAAAUGUAAUAAUAUAAUUCCAUUGUAGGAAAUUUGCCCUUAAACAUAAAAUAAAAAAAAUAUACAUAUAUAUAUAUCUACAUAAAGCCGCAGUCUCGGAACUCUGCAGGCGAACUGUUUAAAAACGAAAAUAUAAUAGAAAGUACAAUAAAAAGGCAAUCCACUGAUAUAUAUUAUAUCUAUGUAUAAUAUUUUAUAUUACAUCGUGUGACCUACUUCGUACUGAUAAAAAAACCUUAUGUCCUCUUUAGUGUAUGUUAAAAAAAUACAACUCUUAAAAACUUAGGGAUCACACACACACACACACACACACACACACACACACACACACACAUACACACAUGCACACACACACACUCUAGAAUAAGGUUCGGUGUCGUCUGGGUUGGAUAAAAGGGAUCCGAUGCUAUUGCUUCGAUGCUCCGAUGCUCCUGCUGCCGCUACCAUUUCCGCCGACUACACUGCCAGAAAUCGUGUGCGUUUGCACAUGCCAUUUGUUCGUUUUGUAUUACCAUAAUGAACGACCGUCCCGCGAUCUGAAUGCAUACAGCGAAUAGGCUACCGCGGUAGUGUACGGUUUGGUUGGCGAUGACUCGUAUCGUCGUCGUCGCUGUGCGGUCGUAGUUAUGUCGUCGUUCCCUUCAUAAUUGCAAGACACUCUGCCUGCAACGAAUAAUGUAUAUAAACCCACCUCGGUCUAUACUUCAUCUCUUUCUGUCCUCCCGGCGCGCCGCGGGAAUAACAAGCUGCCAAACUGCACCGACAGGAGACUGUACAACGGACAAAACGCCAUAACCCAAGUCCUCUCCCCGACUCCGUCACACUCCAUCCUCCUCCGUCGUUAACACACUAUCCCUUGUCUAAGAUUCCGGCGGGCAGCCCUCUUAGAGCGGUGCACGACGCACCUUUGGGGUGUACCGCGAACACGGUAUUCGUGGCUCAAAAUGUCGUUAAUCAUUGUGCCCGAUGGCGUCAGUAUAGCAAUGGUGGUUUAAAAGUUGACACGGACACGGUUUUGUCGCACUGUAUAUAUAUAUAUAUAUAUAUAUAUAUAUAUUGUAAGGUUACCUAUCAUCGCUAUAGGUAGUCCGACGACGGAUUAUACGUUUAAACUACAAUAUUACGAUUAUGAUAUAAUCGUGUAUCGCUUCCACGGGGUCGAGACUCGGGGAUUAUUUAUCUCAGAUGAGUCAAGUACAUCGUAUUGUAAUUACCUAGCUAAUGUCAUUUUAUAACAUAUGUUCAGAUUACAUCACUUACCGGUAGGCGUACGAGGUUGACAACAAAAUAAGCUGAGCAAAUCCGUACUCGACAUGAUAACUACGCGAUUAGAUACUUGUGCAAAAAGCAUCGUUUAAUCAUUAUUAUAGUUUACUCUUAUUGUACUACGUUGUUAUAAUAUGUAUUUUCUUUUAACUUAUUCUCUACUGGUGAGUCUCUCACCUUAUUAUACGUCUGACAAGUUGACAUUUUAAGAAUUCAAGAUUCUCAAUUUUGUUCACUCUAUUCAUAAUUUAAAUAAUAAUUGAUGGUGGCUACAGUUAUUUUUCUGUUUACAAUAUAUAAAACUAACUGACAUUGUCAUUGUCAUUAUUAUUUAUUUAUUUUUUAAAACACAACAUAUAACAGCUGUCGUUGUUAACUCGUAUGGGCUAGUGAGAGAGGAAGAGCAUAGCACACAUGUGAAACGUGAAAUACACAAACACUAAUGAUCAUUUUUAUUAAAGGCAUACUCAAAUGGUACGAAACGAACGCACGCCCUUAUAUCGAUAGAAUUGAACUCCUUAAAGAAGGUCGGUAUCAAAUCCUCUUAAAAUGAAAACAAAAUUAAAUUAAUUUGUUUCGAUGUUUACACUCCUUUUCAAGUAUACACUUUAAGUAACAUACUAUACAAAUCAUGUAAUGACAAUACUUACAUGUAAAAUCAUCAUCAUAUUGCUGAUUAUUAUUCAUAUUCAUACAUAAUAAAUAUUAAAUUAUUUAUAGAUUAUGAUUAAAUAUAAUUUAUUUUUAUUUAUUUUAUACUAUUUAAUGUCUAUUAAAAAAUAUGAUGCAUAUGCAUUAUGCAAUUAUACCAGCAGAUACGUAUCAUUACAAUUUAAUUAAGUAAAACAACUAUCCAUUUGUUUUAAUAUUUUUAGUGAUAAAAUUAUAUUGUUAUUGUAUUUAUAUAAAAAAUAAGAAUUAUUAAAAACACAAAUAUUAUGAGCAUGUUACUAAUUUAAACGAAUAGUAUAAGUACGUAUAUAAUGUAUCAAUGCAGUGGCGAAGCCAGAGGAGGGGCUGAGGGGGCUGCAGUCCUCCCAGAAAUUUUAAGAAAAUUGAAAAUUUAUUUUAAUGGUCAAUUAAACACGCUGCAAAAGUCUUAAAUUGUAUUUUACGGAUUUUAUAUUGUCAUAGCUUUUUUUAUUUGUUAUAAUAUAUAUAUUAAAAAUACUUUGACAUCUGCAUUUUACACUUAUGGAAAAAACUAGGUAAACCACAGCUGAGAAAAAAUUUAGCCUCCUCCGAAAAAAAAAUCCUGGCUACGCCACUCUACCAAUGUAUAAUUAUAUUGUAAUAAUUGUAAUAAUAUUGGGUGAAUUGAAUAUAUUUGUCUAUGAUUUUUAUUUAAAAUCAUUUAUAUUUAAAUACUUUUUUUUUAAAUAUUCGUGUCUUAACUUAAAUAUGGCAAACCACUCGUUUGAUUACAUAAAUAAAAAAUAUCUAUAAAACAAUAAAAUAUAAUAUUUGAUUA
Aphis gossypii (cotton aphid) is the source of this 3260-nucleotide long non-coding RNA. RefSeq lists it as uncharacterized. NCBI's taxonomy places the organism in Eukaryota, Metazoa, Arthropoda, Insecta, Hemiptera, Aphididae. The record is from RefSeq and is a predicted model, not a curated record. The transcript has 2 exons.